This 92-nucleotide ribosomal RNA is filed under the name Escherichia coli. RNAcentral's name for it is "partial 16S ribosomal RNA". It matches the Rfam family "Bacterial small subunit ribosomal RNA", at positions 1 to 88 of the family's 1533-position model. The record is from RNAcentral. RNAcentral also lists the same sequence under 34 other names. Lineage: Bacteria; Pseudomonadati; Pseudomonadota; Gammaproteobacteria; Enterobacterales; Enterobacteriaceae.
AAAUUGAAGAGUUUGAUCAUGGCUCAGAUUGAACGCUGGCGGCAGGCCUAACACAUGCAAGUCGAACGGUAACAGGAAACAGCUUGCUGUUU